GCGCCCGUAGCUCAACGGAUAGAGUACGAGCUUGCGGAGCUUGUGAUCGAGGUUCGAUUCCUCGCGGGCGCA
Molecule: transfer RNA, 72 nt
Filed under: Candidatus Falkowiibacteriota bacterium
Lineage: Bacteria; Candidatus Falkowiibacteriota
Description: tRNA-Arg
Rfam family: tRNA
About the family: Transfer RNA (tRNA) molecules are approximately 80 nucleotides in length.
Source: RNAcentral